UGCAAGUCGAACGGUAGCACAGAGAGCUUGCUCUCGGGUGACGAGUGGCGGACGGGUGAGUAAUGUCUGGGAAACUGCCUGAUGGAGGGGGAUAACUACUGGAAACGGUAGCUAAUACCGCAUAACGUCGCAAGACCAAAGAGGGGGACCUUCGGGCCUCUUGCCAUCAGAUGUGCCCAGAUGGGAUUAGCUAGUAGGUGGGGUAACGGCUCACCUAGGCGACGAUCCCUAGCUGGUCUGAGAGGAUGACCAGCCACACUGGAACUGAGACACGGUCCAGACUCCUACGGGAGGCAGCAGUGGGGAAUAUUGCACAAUGGGCGCAAGCCUGAUGCAGCCAUGCCGCGUGUAUGAAGAAGGCCUUCGGGUUGUAAAGUACUUUCAGCGGGGAGGAAGGUGUUGUGGUUAAUAACCGCAGCAAUUGACGUUACCCGCAGAAGAAGCACCGGCUAACUCCGUGCCAGCAGCCGCGGUAAUACGGAGGGUGCAAGCGUUAAUCGGAAUUACUGGGCGUAAAGCGCACGCAGGCGGUCUGUCAAGUCGGAUGUGAAAUCCCCGGGCUCAACCUGGGAACUGCAUUCGAAACUGGCAGGCUAGAGUCUUGUAGAGGGGGGUAGAAUUCCAGGUGUAGCGGUGAAAUGCGUAGAGAUCUGGAGGAAUACCGGUGGCGAAGGCGGCCCCCUGGACAAAGACUGACGCUCAGGUGCGAAAGCGUGGGGAGCAGACAGGAUUAGAUACCCUGGUAGUCCACGCCGUAAACGAUGUCGACUUGGAGGUUGUGCCCUUGAGGCGUGGCUUCCGGAGCUAACGCGUUAAGUCGACCGCCU
Molecule: ribosomal RNA, 827 nt
Filed under: Enterobacter sp.
Lineage: Bacteria; Pseudomonadati; Pseudomonadota; Gammaproteobacteria; Enterobacterales; Enterobacteriaceae
Description: bacterial SSU rRNA
Rfam family: Bacterial small subunit ribosomal RNA
Source: RNAcentral